This 73-nucleotide transfer RNA is filed under the name Marmota monax (woodchuck). RNAcentral's name for it is "tRNA.Ala". Lineage: Eukaryota; Metazoa; Chordata; Mammalia; Rodentia; Sciuridae. The record is from RNAcentral.
UGAAGCUGAGGCUCAGUGGUAGAGUGCUUGCCUAGCCUGUGUGAGGCACUGGGUUCAAUCCUCAGCAUUUCAA